This 823-nucleotide long non-coding RNA is filed under the name Triticum aestivum (bread wheat). Its description in RNAcentral is "long non-coding RNA (TAES_LNC017057)". Lineage: Eukaryota; Viridiplantae; Streptophyta; Magnoliopsida; Poales; Poaceae. The record is from RNAcentral.
UAAUGUGUCACGUAUACAGCCUUUCCAAUAAAAAAGGCACGUGUACAUCCCUUGGGGACAAACUUAUAUCAAUCGGAUUCACAUGUCCGGAUGUGCCUGAUUAGAAGGACAACCUACAAGUAUAGACAAGGAACUCGGAAAUAAACAAAAGUGCAGAAACGUGUUGACAUAGGACACGUAUAAAUUCUUUUUUUAACAACACACGUACAAAUUCUUGAUCCGGUCCAUCCUAUCUGGAGGGACUCAAUCAAUAGAACUCCACGUCUCCACAUGGACUCUAGAUAAAAAGAAACUCUAGAUGGAGUCAGCCAAGGCAACAAAAUAGAAAGACACUCGGCCGACCACAUCCAACAGAUGCCCAAGAGUCGGAGUCAACCAAAUCUGGACAUAUCAAAGUCUACAAAUCUGCUACCCGACCAAAGCACCACCAACAAAAUCGAGGUCUUCCGAAAUCUACUUCCCAGGAAGAGAACCACCAACAAAAUUGAAGACUGCACAACAAAUCUACUACCCGGGCAGCGUAACACCAAUAAAAUCGAAGACUGCAGAACAAAUCUGCUACCCGACCAGAGCACCACCAACAAAUUUGAGUUCUGCGAUGCCAGACAAACAGCCGAAACUGCAAUGUGACCGCAACAGGACGACCGACGAAGUCAGGACAGAUCUUCAGAGCUGCCUCUCACUGAAUCAUCAAGGUCUGUAAAUAUUUUAAUUAAUUCACUUAUCAGGACAAAAGAUGCAUUGGUAACUGACUAACAAUUUUUGACUCCUUUUGCAGCCAAAAAACUAUGGUGUGCAAGAAGCAUAAUGCUUACCAACAACA